UGUGGCUGGGGGUGAAAGGCCAAUCAAACCGGGAGAUAGCUGGUUCUCCCCGAAAGCUAUUUAGGUAGCGCCUCGUGAAUUCAUCUCCGGGGGUAGAGCACUGUUUCGGCAAGGGGGUCAUCCCGACUUACCAACCCGAUGCAAACUGCGAAUACCGGAGAAUGUUAUCACGGGAGACACACGGCGGGUGCUAACGUCCGUCGUGAAGAGGGAAACAACCCAGACCGCCAGCUAAGGUCCCAAAGUCAUGGUUAAGUGGGAAACGAUGUGGGAAGGCCCAGACAGCCAGGAUGUUGGCUUAGAAGCAGCCAUCAUUUAAAGAAAGCGUAAUAGCUCACUGGUCGAGUCGGCCUGCGCGGAAGAUGUAACGGGGCUAAACCAUGCACCGAAGCUGCGGCAGCGACACUAUGUGUUGUUGGGUAGGGGAGCGUUCUGUAAGCCUGUGAAGGUGGCCUGUGAGGGUUGCUGGAGGUAUCAGAAGUGCGAAUGCUGACAUAAGUAACGAUAAAGCGGGUGAAAAGCCCGCUCGCCGGAAGACCAAGGGUUCCUGUCCAACGUUAAUCGGGGCAGGGUGAGUCGACCCCUAAGGCGAGGCCGAAAGGCGUAGUCGAUGGGAAACAGGUUAAUAUUCCUGUACUUGGUGUUACUGCGAAGGGGGGACGGAGAAGGCUAUGUUGGCCGGGCGACGGUUGUCCCGGUUUAAGCGUGUAGGCUGGUUUUCCAGGCAAAUCCGGAAAACCAAGGCUGAGGCGUGAUGACGAGGCACUACGGUGCUGAAGCGACAAAUGCCCUGCUUCCAGGAAAAGCCUCUAAGCAUCAGGUAACAUCAAAUCGUACCCCAAACCGACACAGGUGGUCAGGUAGAGAAUACCAAGGCGCUUGAGAGAACUCGGGUGAAGGAACUAGGCAAAAUGGUGCCGUAACUUCGGGAGAAGGCACGCUGAUAUGUAGGUGAAGCGACUUGCUCGUGGAGCUGAAAUCAGUCGAAGAUACCAGCUGGCUGCAACUGUUUAUUAAAAACACAGCACUGUGCAAACACGAAAGUGGACGUAUACGGUGUGACGCCUGCCCGGUGCCGGAAGGUUAAUUGAUGGGGUUAGCGGUAACGCGAAGCUCUUGAUCGAAGCCCCGGUAAACGGCGGCCGUAACUAUAACGGUCCUAAGGUAGCGAAAUUCCUUGUCGGGU
This 1186-nucleotide ribosomal RNA is filed under the name human gut metagenome. RNAcentral describes it as "bacterial LSU rRNA". It matches the Rfam family "Bacterial large subunit ribosomal RNA", at positions 810 to 1977 of the family's 2925-position model. The record is from RNAcentral.